CAGCUCUUCAAGUGGUCGGGAUGAUUAUUGGGCUUAAAGUGUCCGUAGCCGGUUUAGUAAGUUCUUGGUCAAAUCGGAUAGCUUAACUAUUCGUUCGCUAGGAAUACUACUUUACUAGGGGGCGGGAGAGGUCUGAGGUACUCCAGGGGUAGCGGUGAAAUGCGAUAAUCCUUGGGGGACCACCAGUGGCGAAGGCGUCAGACUGGAACGCGCCUGACGGUGAGGGACGAAAGCCAGGGGAGCGAACCGGAUUAGAUACCCGAGUAGUCC
RNAcentral lists this ribosomal RNA (270 nucleotides) under uncultured archaeon. RNAcentral's name for it is "partial 16S ribosomal RNA". It matches the Rfam family "Archaeal small subunit ribosomal RNA", at positions 477 to 747 of the family's 1478-position model. The record is from RNAcentral.